RNAcentral lists this transfer RNA (49 nucleotides) under Orthothecium intricatum. RNAcentral describes it as "partial tRNA-Ser". The record is from RNAcentral. RNAcentral also lists the same sequence under 4 other names. Lineage: Eukaryota; Viridiplantae; Streptophyta; Bryopsida; Hypnales; Plagiotheciaceae.
AUGCUAUGUAGGCUUUUGUUUACCGAGGGUUCGAAUCCCUCUCUUUCCG